Molecule: ribosomal RNA, 488 nt
Filed under: uncultured bacterium
Lineage: Bacteria
Description: bacterial SSU rRNA
Rfam family: Bacterial small subunit ribosomal RNA
Source: RNAcentral
GAUUAACGCUGGCGGCAUGCCUAAUACAUGCAAGUCGAACGGAAGCAGCAAUGCUUUAGUGGCGAACGGGUGAGUAACACGUAGGGAACCUACCUAUACGACGAGGAUAACUACUGGAAACGGUAGCUAAAACUGGAUAGGAUCAAUUGAGGCAUCUUGAUUGAUUUAAAGAUCCUUCGGGAUUACGUAGAGAUGGCCCUGCGGCGCAUUAGCUAGUUGGUGAGGUAACGGCCACCAAGGCGACGAUGCGUAGCUGAGCUGAGAGGCUAAACAGCCACACUGGGACUGAGACACGGCCCAGACUCCUACGGGAGGCAGCAGUAGGGAAUUUUCGGCAAUGGGGGAAACCCUGACCGAGCAAUGCCGCGUGAACGAUGAAGGUCUUCGGAUUGUAAAGUUCUGUGAUUGGGGAAGAAUGGUAUUCUUAGGGAAUGAGGAGUACAUGACGGUACCCGAUUAGAAAGCCCCGGCUAACUAUGUGCCAGCAG